UACGUAGGGUGCGAGCGUUAAUCGGAAUUACUGGGCGUAAAGCGUGCGCAGGCGGUGAUGUAAGACAGUUGUGAAAUCCCCGGGCUCAACCUGGGAACUGCAUCUGUGACUGCAUCGCUGGAGUGCGGCAGAGGGGGAUGGAAUUCCGCGUGUAGCAGUGAAAUGCGUAGAUAUGCGGAGGAACACCGAUGGCGAAGGCAAUCCCCUGGGCCUGCACUGACGCUCAUGCAUGAAAGCUAGGGGAGCAAACGGG
This 253-nucleotide ribosomal RNA is filed under the name uncultured bacterium. RNAcentral's name for it is "partial 16S ribosomal RNA". It matches the Rfam family "Bacterial small subunit ribosomal RNA", at positions 524 to 776 of the family's 1533-position model. The record is from RNAcentral.